UACGUAGGGUGCAAGCGUUGUUCGGAAUCAUUGGGCGUAAAGCGCGUGCAGGUGGUUAGGUAAGUCGGGUGUGAAAUCCCUGGGCUCAACCGAGGAAGUGCACUCGAAACUACCUAGCUAGAGGACAGUAGAGGAAGGUGGAAUUCCUAGUGUAGAGGUGAAAUUCGUAGAUAUUAGGAGGAAUACCGGAGGCGAAGGCGACCUUCUGGGCUGUUCCUGACACUGAGACGCGAAAGCGUGGGUAGCAAACAGG
RNAcentral lists this ribosomal RNA (253 nucleotides) under uncultured bacterium. RNAcentral's name for it is "partial 16S ribosomal RNA". It matches the Rfam family "Bacterial small subunit ribosomal RNA", at positions 524 to 776 of the family's 1533-position model. The record is from RNAcentral.